UGAAUAUCCUGCCUGUUUCCUUUGACUGUGGCCACAGUCCAGACUCUUUUUGGAUAUCUGGUACUGGCUAGACUCCCAGGAUUGGAUCCCAGCCCAGGUCUAUCUUGUUGGUCGGUGGAAUACUCCUCUGAGAGAUUUUAUUUGGAAGUAGGAAAACUUCAGUGAGUAUCACAGCAGUUAGAUUUUCAAGUAUGGUCAGCAGAGUAUGCAGUUAGAAAACUGUACUUCUCAAAAUUUUUCCUAGAGUGAGAAAGUGACUGCCAGAAGUUCCACUGUCUAGAAUUUGCAGUUGGAGUUGAAAUGAGGAAUACACAGAACCAUCACAGAAAACAGAAACACAGUUGACCCUUGAAGAACACACAUUUUGAACUAUGGCCCAGUUACAAGUGGAUUUUUUCAGGAAAAUUACACCGUGUCUGUCUGCCUCUCCUGCCUCCUCUUCCACCUCCUCCACCUCUUCUGCCUCUGCCAACCCUGUGACAGCAAGAACAACCCCUCCACUUUUUCCUCCUCUUCAGCCCAUUCAAUGUGAAGAAAAGGAUGAAGAUCUUUACAAUGAUCAACUUCUAUUUAAUGAAAGGGUUCAUCUUCUGGCACUCUCUGUUGUCUGACGUCUGGAAGCAUUUGUUUCAUGUAUUUGUUGAUUUUCAAGUUCUUUCCAGUAGAAGUAAAAAGGUAAUUUUCACAUUAAUUAAAUUACCCCAUUAUGUAUGGAAAGCAGAAAUUCUCUUAUAAAAACAUAUUCAGUCAAUAAUGUUAUUUUGCUUAAACCUACAAAUGUAUACUAUUUUUAGGCAGCAAUAUUUUGAAAAUAACUACUUUGUAGUUCCAACAGUAUUAAUCAAUAAAUCAAGCAAGAAAGAAGCAUUUCAAAAAUAUUAGGUACUAAUUGAUUUAAUACCAUAUUUCACGAUCAAGAGUGUCCCCAUUUAAGUGAUAUAUUAUAUGGUUAUCCUAUUUUUAAGUCUGUUAAAAGUUGUUUCAAAUCUCCACUGUUGCAUACUUGCAUGUGAAAAUUACCAAUGUGGAUUGUGUUAAACUGACAACUCAAAUGUCACAAAGUCUCUGUCAUAUGUGUUUUAUGGAUUGCUUCAAUGGUUAAUAACUUUAGAUAAUGUCAUAGAAGUGAAAUACAGUAUCUUUUUGAUUAUAUGGUCAUAGGAAAAUAAAGAGUACAUAAAAACUUUAAAAUACUGGAUUUUUAUAUUUUAAAAACUCAGAUUCUAGGCUCUGUUUUUAUAAAUGGUUUUGUUGUUUCUGUUUUGUUCUGUUCUGUUUGAUUUACCUGAUAAUCUAGAUGGAUGUUCAAGAAUGGUAGGAUACUGGGCAAUUUUUACUUGGUGGUAUUCUUCUUUAUAAAAGAGAAACCUUAAACAGUUGUGGUUCCACCUAGUAAGUGUAUAAAAUUUCCCAAAUAUUAGGGAAAAAACAUAAAACAGCCUUUGAAAGUAAUACGAUUCCCUUUGAAAACUACCCAUAAUAUUGUGUGGGUUUUGUCUUACCCUCAGUGAGAUGGAGACUUACUAAGGGUAGUAAUGUAAGGAAGUGAAAAUGUGACAUAAGCAUGUUAGUAUUUUACUGGCUGUGUGUUGGAUUAGAAAUGAAGGUUUGUCAGAAUAAUGGUGGCAGGGAGAGAAGCAGACCAAUUAGGGCAUUAUUUCAGAAAUUUAAAUAUGAAGUUAUGAAUAUAGAUGUAACAUGUUUAAAUAUAUCAGCAGGGAGCAGAAGGAAAAACAACAGAGAAAUAAGCAUGUUUUCUAGGCUAAGAUUCCAAACUGCCCAAGGAGAAAAGUGAUGGUAAUAGAUAGAAGAAAUUGGAAAAAUAAGAGAAGAAAGGCAAGAAGGAAAAAACAGACUGAAUUUUUACUAGAUAUUAGAGGAAACUACCUACAUUCAUUUAAAAAACAGGACGACAAAUGCCAUAUUUUUGAAAUAGAAAAGAAAUAAUCUUCAGGAAUUAUAGUACAUUCUAAGAAAGCAAUGUUGUAGAAGGAUUUAGAUAAAUGUAGAAAAGUAAUUUGUAAAUUUAAAUAGUGGUAACAGUUGGAAUGUGGUUAAAAAGGACUAUUGCUGUUUUUGUGAUUAUUAAUAGCUGAUGUGCUUCCUACUUUCUUGUCAGUGAUACUGAGAAAAGUAGAUGGAAUAAUUCAAAAUUAAUUAACAGACUUCUCAGUUCCAAACCAAAUGUUCAUGUUUUUAGAAAUAAAGGUAUUGUAAAAACCUUGGGCUUCAUGUCAAAUGUUAUUAUGUAAUACGUAUUGAAUCACACAUAAUUUGAGAGCUUAAUCCAUUUUUUAACUUAUUAUAUAUUCCAAGUUGCUGAAUCAAGUGUAACAUUGUACUGAGAUUCAGAAAUUUCAUGGGAUGAACAAGAUGUGGCAACAAAAGAUGAAGACAUGAACCUCUAUCUAAUAAAGAUAAAUUAUUUUGGAGAAUAUUGCGUGACGAGUAAUGGAAACUAGAUUUCAAAUAUUUACUGACAAAGUGAUCAAUUAUUGUUAAGAAUCUGAAAUUGUUUUUUUUGAUAUGUACUGAAAUGUUUUAUUCAAAUGCUAUUUUCUAUUACUUACAAAUAGAAUCAAAAUUCUAAGAGGAGAAACUAUUAUCCACCACUGUUUACACCAGCAAGUUAUCCGGAAACCUACUCGGAACUCUGUGGGGUUGUUGUCCCUAACCGUGAGCUUCCUACUCAUGCAUCAUAGUUAGGUUUGAUGAUUGUGGGGCUUGCACUAUGUUCUUGAGGAUCCUUAUAAAAAAGACUCAACCUUUCAGGGCACAUCAAAUAAAGGCAUUCAAACACAAUGCCUGAAACUUCAACUCCAUUCCCAGAAAUAGGUCCCCUUGAAGAUCUAGAAAAAGAGGACUAUAAGGAGGAAAAGUAGAAAGUCUAGGAGGAGGAGGAAGAAAACUUAAAGAGCAGAAGGAUAAGAAGGAAGGGUUCAGGUCUUGAAAUAAGUAACAUGGACAAAGAAGCUGAAACUGCUGAAAAUUUAUCUGUUAGGAUACCCUAUCAAUAUAUUUUCUGUUGUGUAUCUCUUAAAUAGAUUCACAUCAACAUCUGAAAAAUAUAUAUUAAAAUAAUACCAACAUUAUAAAAGACAACAAUAACAGCUAACAUUUGUAUAGCAUGUUCUACGUGCUAGGCAGUGUUUAAUAAUUUUGACAAAUAUUAACACAUUGAAUCCUCACUUAAAACGAUUAAGUAUUUUCUUUAUUUAUACAUGAAUAAAUUAGGGUAUGGAGAGGGUGCCUUCAUGGGUAACCACUGAUUAUCAAUGAAUAUCUUUUGAACUAUCAAGCAGUGCUUUUUCAGGUACUUUUAAAGGUUUUAUUAAAAAAAAAAUCACACAAGCUCAUUUCAAGAGUUUAAUUUCUAUAGUAUUAUAGUACUUAAGUAUCCACAUUAAAUUUGAAAUCAUUAGAUUUGAAUCAAAUUCAUUUUCAAUUUCACACCAGGCGUUUAGCAAUAAUCUAUUAAUUUCAUUGUGUUCUUUUGUAAAAUGGAAAUAAUAUCUAUCUCAUAUGUUUUCUGAGGAUCAAUUUUGAUAUAUUUAGUAAGGAUAAUUGUUCAUCCCUUCCCAAAUUAAGAAGUUAAUACAUACAAAUUUUCAAAAUAGCCAAACGUUGCAUUCCAUUCCAUUGCUUCUCUUUGGUAUCAUAACAUGUAGAGAAAUAUUUUUUAGAAGGUCAAGUAAAUGUUUUAGUAAGAUGAAUAGUGAUGUGUGUGUAUUAUACGGGGGGGCCAUAUUCAUCAGAGCAACCAAAAAAUGUGAUGCUUUUAAAUAUAAUAGAAAUAUUUCAAAUUAUUUAUUAGCUUUGUGAUUUUAAUAAAGUAUGAGUUUAUAUUCUAAUUUUAAUGAUAUCUCUCAUCAAUUAUAUAUCUCUAUUCUCUAUUUUAUGACAUAAAUAUGGCUUUGUCUUUUCUUGUGUUUAUUCUAAGAACUCCUCUCAACUAGAUUAUCAAUAUUUGUGGGGAAAGAAUUAUGUUUGAUUUGCUUUGUAACCCCUUUUUUUUGUAAACUUUUGUAAACAAAAGUUUAAGGGAAUAUUUAUCCGGAGAAAAGGUAACUAUUUGGAAAUGUUUGUAUUAUUGUUUCUUUAAAAAGCCUAGACAAACAUGAUCUGGGUCAUGUUUAUUCUGCAAUCAAGAAGGAAAUAAGCACAUGAACCAGACAAGCAUCAAGGCUAUUUUUAUUAUCUAAAUAUAUUUAUAAACAAAUUAGAAAUAAUAAAUUUACAUUACUUUUACUAUUAAAUGGACUUUAAUAGUAAAAAGUGACCCACUUCAUG
RNAcentral lists this long non-coding RNA (4290 nucleotides) under Homo sapiens (human). RNAcentral describes it as "HSALNT0070659". The record is from RNAcentral. Lineage: Eukaryota; Metazoa; Chordata; Mammalia; Primates; Hominidae.